This 352-nucleotide transfer-messenger RNA is filed under the name Verrucomicrobiales bacterium. It matches the Rfam family "transfer-messenger RNA". From Rfam's summary of the family: Bacterial tmRNA, also known as 10Sa RNA or SsrA, is named for its dual tRNA and mRNA-like properties. Its role is to liberate the mRNA from a stalled ribosome. To accomplish this part of the tmRNA is used as a reading frame that ends in a translation stop signal. Lineage: Bacteria; Pseudomonadati; Verrucomicrobiota; Verrucomicrobiia; Verrucomicrobiales. The record is from RNAcentral.
GGGGGCGCUCGGUUUCGACUUUUUCGAACGUGCGUCUGUGGCAAGCCGAGGACUGAACUGGUUGGCCUCGUUAAUCAUCCGGUUCGACUAUUAACUGCUAACGAAGAGUUGGCUCUCGCGGCCUAAGCGCCGUGACGUCUGGUGCCUGACCCCUGCUGGGGAGCCAAGACGCUAUUAGCAGGGCUGUCCGUCAAGUGAGCCGCCGGCUGACGGAGUGAAUUGACGCGGAGGCUAAGGUCACGGCGCGAGUGGUUGCGCCAACCGCGACCCGACACCCAAGCGACCACUAAGCUUGUAGAGGCAGGCGUUCUCUCGAUUAAGGACGUGGGUUCGAGUCCCACCGCCUCCAUUC